RNAcentral lists this ribosomal RNA (1519 nucleotides) under metagenome. RNAcentral describes it as "bacterial SSU rRNA". It matches the Rfam family "Bacterial small subunit ribosomal RNA". The record is from RNAcentral.
AGAGUUUGAUCCUGGCUCAGAACGAACGCUGGCGGCGUGGAUUAGGCAUGCAAGUCGAACGCGAACGUCACCUUCGGGUGGUUAGUAGAGUGGCGAACGGGUGAGUAACGCGUGAGAAACCUGCCUAGAAGUGGGGAAUAACACUCCCAACGGGGUGCUAAUACCGCAUGUGAUGUGAGUGUCGCAUGGCACACACAGGAAAGAUGGCCUCUGCUUGCAAGCUAUCGCUUCUAGAUGGUCUCGCGUCCGAUUAGCUUGUUGGUGGGGUAACGGCUCACCAAGGCGACGAUCGGUAGCUGGUCUGAGAGGAUGGUCAGCCACACUGGGACUGAGAUACGGCCCAGACUCCUACGGGAGGCAGCAGUCGAGAGGCUUUGUCAAUGGGGGAAACCCUGAACAAGCGACGCCGCGUGGGGGAUGACGGCCUUUGGGUUGUAAACCCCUUUUCAGCAGGGACGAAUGUUUUGCGGGUGAAUAAUCCGCUUAGUUGACGGUACCUGCAGAAGAAGCUCCGGCUAACUCCGUGCCAGCAGCCGCGGUAACACGGGGGGAGCGAGCGUUGUUCGGAAUCACUGGGCGUAAAGGGCGUGUAGGCGGUUCGGUAAGUGAGAUGUGAAAGCCCCCGGCUCACCCGGGGAUGUGCAUUUCAUACUGCUGGACUUGAGUACGGAAGAGGAUGGGGGAAUUCCUGGUGUAGCGGUGAAAUGCGUAGAUAUCAGGAGGAACACCGGUGGCGAAGGCGCCCAUCUGGUCCGUUACUGACGCUGAUGCGCGAAAGCUAGGGGAGCGAACGGGAUUAGAUACCCCGGUAGUCCUAGCCGUAAACGGUGGGCACUAGGUGUUGGAGGCAUCGACCCUUCCAGUGCCGCAGCUAACGCAUUAAGUGCCCCGCCUGGGGAGUACGGUCGCAAGACUGAAACUCAAAGGAAUUGACGGGGGCCCGCACAAGCGGUGGAGCAUGUGGUUCAAUUCGACGCAACGCGAAGAACCUUACCCAGGCAUGACAUGCACUGGACCGGUGUGGAAACACACCUUCCCUUCGGGGCUAGUGCACAGGUGCUGCAUGGCUGUCGUCAGCUCGUGUCGUGAGAUGUUGGGUUAAGUCCCGCAACGAGCGCAACCCUUGCCCUUAGUUGCUAACGAGUUAAGUCGAGCACUCUAGGGGGACUGCCGGCGGUAAGCCGGAGGAAGGUGGGGACGACGUCAAGUCCUCAUGGCCCUUACGCCUGGGGCUACACACGUGCUACAAUGACCGACACAGAGGGCUGCGAUACCGCGAGGUGGAGCUAAUCCCAAAAAGUCGGCCUCAGUUCGGAUUGCAGUCUGCAACUCGACUGCAUGAAGGUGGAAUCGCUAGUAAUCGCUGAUCAGCAGGCAGCGGUGAAUACGUUCCCGGGCCUUGUACACACCGCCCGUCAAGCCACGAAAGUUGGCAGUACCCGAAGUCGCCGCGGUAACCCGCAAGGGAGCUAGGCGCCUAAGGUAAGGCUAGCGAUUGGGGCUAAGUCGGAACAAGGUA